This 253-nucleotide ribosomal RNA is filed under the name uncultured bacterium. RNAcentral describes it as "partial 16S ribosomal RNA". It matches the Rfam family "Bacterial small subunit ribosomal RNA", at positions 524 to 776 of the family's 1533-position model. The record is from RNAcentral.
UACGUAGGGGUCAAGCGUUGUCCGGAUUUAUUGGGCGUAAAGGGCGUGUAGGCGGCCUGACAAGUCUGCUGUGAAAACUCGAGGCUCAACCUCGAGAUGUCGGCGGAAACUGCCUGGCUAGAGUCCGGAAGAGGAGAGUGGAAUUCCUGGUGUAGCGGUGAAAUGCGCAGAUAUCAGGAAGAACACCUAUGGCGAAGGCAGCUCUCUGGGACGGUACUGACGCUGAGACGCGAAGGCGUGGGGAGCGAACAGG